Molecule: long non-coding RNA, 190 nt
Organism: Triticum dicoccoides
Lineage: Eukaryota; Viridiplantae; Streptophyta; Magnoliopsida; Poales; Poaceae
Exons: 3
Source: RefSeq, a predicted model, not a curated record
GCCCACUAUUCUGCUGAUGAGGCUCUCAUACUAAAGCAAAAAGCAGAGGACGUGCUCCCUUACCUGAAUGACCGCUGUGUUUAUCUAGUUGGAAUGAUGGGUUCCGGCAAAACUACAGUGGGGAAGAUAAUAGCUGAAGUACUAGGCUAUUCAUUCUUUGACAGGUUUGAACUUCUCUCUGACAACUGCA